Molecule: ribosomal RNA, 667 nt
Filed under: uncultured Vibrionaceae bacterium
Lineage: Bacteria; Pseudomonadati; Pseudomonadota; Gammaproteobacteria; Vibrionales; Vibrionaceae
Description: bacterial SSU rRNA
Rfam family: Bacterial small subunit ribosomal RNA
Source: RNAcentral
UAGAGUUUGAUCAUGGCUCAGAUUGAACGCUGGCGGCAGGCCUAACACAUGCAAGUUGAGCGGUAACAUGUCUAGCUUGCUAGAUGAUGACGAGCGGCGGACGGGUGAGUAAUGCUUGGGGAUCUGCCUUAGAGUGGAGGAUAACCAUUGGAAACGAUGGCUAAUACUGCAUAGUAUCUGCGGAUUAAAGGGGGCUUCGGCUCUUGCUUUAAGAUGAACCCAAGUGGGAUUAGCUAGUUGGUGAGGUAAUGGCUCACCAAGGCGACGAUCCCUAGCUGGUCUGAGAGGAUGAUCAGCCACACUGGAACUGAGACACGGUCCAGACUCCUACGGGAGGCAGCAGUGGGGAAUAUUGCACAAUGGGCGCAAGCCUGAUGCAGCCAUGCCGCGUGUAUGAAGAAGGCCUUCGGGUUGUAAAGUACUUUCAGUUGUGAGGAAGGGGGUGUUGUUAAUAGCAACAUCUCUUGACGUUAGCAACAGAAGAAGCACCGGCUAACUCCGUGCCAGCAGCCGCGGUAAUACGGAGGGUGCGAGCGUUAAUCGGAAUUACUGGGCGUAAAGCGCAUGCAGGUGGUUCAUUAAGUCAGAUGUGAAAGCCCGGGGCUCAACCUCGGAACUGCAUUUGAAACUGGUGAACUAGAGUACUGUAGAGGGGGGUAGAAUUUCA